GGUGCAUGGCCGUCGUCAGUUCGUACUGUGAAGCAUCCUCGUUAAGUCAGGCAACGAGCGAGACCCACGCCCACAGUUGCCAGCGUACUCUCUGGAGUGACGGGUACACUGUGGGGACCGCCGCUGCUAAAGCGAGGAAGGAAUGGGCAACGGUAGGUCAGUAUGCCCCGAAUAUCCCGGGCUACACGCGAGCUACAAUGGUUGGUACAAUGGGUAUCUACCCCGAAAGGGGAUGGAAAUCUCCUAAAGCCAAUCUUAGUCCGGAUUGAGGGCUGCAACUCGCCCUCAUGAAGCUGGAAUCCGUAGUAAUCGCGUUUCAACAGAACGCGGUGAAUACGUCCCUGCUCCUU
Molecule: ribosomal RNA, 350 nt
Filed under: uncultured Methanosaeta sp.
Lineage: Archaea; Methanobacteriati; Methanobacteriota; Methanomicrobia; Methanotrichales; Methanotrichaceae
Description: bacterial SSU rRNA
Rfam family: Archaeal small subunit ribosomal RNA
Source: RNAcentral